UGGCGGACGGGUGAGUAAUGUCUGGGAAACUGCCUGAUGGAGGGGGAUAACUACUGGAAACGGUAGCUAAUACCGCAUAACGUCGCAAGACCAAAGAGGGGGACCUUCGGGCCUCUUGCCAUCAGAUGUGCCCAGAUGGGAUUAGCUAGUAGGUGGGGUAACGGCUCACCUAGGCGACGAUCCCUAGCUGGUCUGAGAGGAUGACCAGCCACACUGGAACCGAGACACGGUCCAG
RNAcentral lists this ribosomal RNA (235 nucleotides) under uncultured Enterobacterales bacterium. RNAcentral's name for it is "partial 16S ribosomal RNA". It matches the Rfam family "Bacterial small subunit ribosomal RNA", at positions 96 to 334 of the family's 1533-position model. Lineage: Bacteria; Pseudomonadati; Pseudomonadota; Gammaproteobacteria; Enterobacterales. The record is from RNAcentral.